Molecule: ribosomal RNA, 696 nt
Filed under: uncultured bacterium
Lineage: Bacteria
Description: bacterial SSU rRNA
Rfam family: Bacterial small subunit ribosomal RNA
Source: RNAcentral
AACGCUAGCUACAGGCUUAACACAUGCAAGUCGAGGGGAAACGAUAUUGGAAGCUUGCUUCCGAUAGGCGUCGACCGGCGCACGGGUGAGUAACGCGUAUCCAACCUGCCCACCACUUGGGGAUAACCUUGCGAAAGUAAGACUAAUACCCAAUGAUAUCUCUAGAAGACAUCUGAAAGAGAUUAAAGAUUUAUCGGUGAUGGAUGGGGAUGCGUCUGAUUAGCUUGUUGGCGGGGUAACGGCCCACCAAGGCAACGAUUAGUAGGGGUUCUGAGAGGAAGGUCCCCCACAUUGGAACUGAGACACGGUCCAAACUCCUACGGGAGGCAGCAGUGAGGAAUAUUGGUCAAUGGGCGAGAGCCUGAACCAGCCAAGUAGCGUGCAGGAAGACGGCCCUAUGGGUUGUAAACUGCUUUUAUAAGGGAAUAAAGUUAGUCUCGUGAGACUUUUUGCAUGUACCUUAUGAAUAAGGACCGGCUAAUUCCGUGCCAGCAGCCGCGGUAGUACGGAAGGUCCGGGCGUUAUCCGGAUUUAUUGGGUUUAAAGGGAGCGUAGGCCGGAGAUUAAGCGUGUUGUGAAAUGUAGAUGCUCAACAUCUGAACUGCAGCGCGAACUGGUUUCCUUGAGUACGCACAAAGUGGGCGGAAUUCGUGGUGUAGCGGUGAAAUGCUUAGAUAUCACGAAGAACUCCGAUUG